AUUCCAGCUCCAAUAGCGUAUAUUAAAGUUGUUGCAGUUAAAAAGCUCGUAGUUGGAUUUUUGACAGGAGCGACCAUACCGGGCUUGAUUGUCCGUGUUUUGUAUUGUCUCCAGUCAUCCUCGUGGAGAGCGUUUCUGGCAUUAGUUUGUUGGAGGCGGGACCCGCGUCAUUUACUGUGAAAAAAUUAGAGUGUUUAAAGCAGGCAAUUGGCUUGAAUACAUUAGCAUGGAAUAAUAAGAUAGGACUUUGGUGCUAUUUUGUUGGUUUGCACAUCAAGGUAAUGAUUAACAGAAUCAGUCGGGGAUAUUCGUAUGCAAAUGUCAGAGGUGAAAUUCUUGGAUUUUUUACAGACGUACUACUGCGAAAGCAUUUAUCAAGGAUGUUUUCAUUA
RNAcentral lists this ribosomal RNA (392 nucleotides) under Labyrinthulaceae sp. RNAcentral describes it as "partial small subunit ribosomal RNA". It matches the Rfam family "Eukaryotic small subunit ribosomal RNA", at positions 582 to 975 of the family's 1831-position model. The record is from RNAcentral. Lineage: Eukaryota; Bigyra; Labyrinthulida; Labyrinthulaceae.